UACAAUCUUUUUUGACUUUUUCUAAAUUCCCAUAGAACGACGUCGUUCGUGAACCUUAAAAUAUUGGGCAAAAUGCAUUCCCUUGAAGAAGGAGUACAAGUAGCUUCAGCACGCCCUUUCCUCACUCUGUUUCAGCAGUUGUCAGAAGUCUAUAUCUUCGCCAUUGACUGAGCAAUCUCUUCCAGAAUUGUAAGAAUCUCAAACGUUUUUUCAAUUCUUGUAAUUAUGUGAUCUUGAUCCGUAAUAUCUCGUUGUUUAUGAUGGCAAUUCUAAUUCAAUGUUUUCAAUUCUGCUAAGCAAUUAUGGUGUUGUUCAUCCCUUUCGUAGAUCUAUAUUCUUCACAGAGUAAUUUGUAGUUUUGUCUUGCUUUCUAAUGUUACGCCAAAAGGUUGGUUUGGUUGAAAGAAUCAAACUUUAGUCGGUAGGUGAAAUGGGCUGUGGCCUGCGAGCUAAACAUGAAUGCAAAAUUUAAGCAAUAGUUGAUGGUGUGCGUCUAAUUGUGGAAAAUGAAGGGUAAUUCAAGGGAAAGAUAAUAUUUGCUUAAUAUAAAUUGAACCAAGAAUUUUGGUAUAAUGGGUGUUCAAUGAUUUACAAAAUGUUGUCAAUGGGUUUGAAUUUCUCUAUUUUAUGGUAGGGAGAAUGGCAGUGUGAUUUCUUCAUCUUAAAGGCUCAGUUGGGAUUGAGGUUUUUUUCUUUCAGAACCCAAAAGCGUUUUUGUUUAAUCUGCAAAAGAGGGUGGUGUGGCUAGAACUAGAAGUUGCAAGUUAUAACUACAACCCAAUUUCUUCUGUUUGCUGGCUUUCUAACUUGCUUCAAUUAGGGAAUAGCGUAGAUGGAUCAAUUACGCGGUUCAUAUUUGUUGAUUUUCUUAAGUUCUAGGAUGUUGCUUAUCUUCUGGUUGAUGGCUGUCUAAUAUCCCUUUCUUUUGAUGCUUAGUUAUAUUUCAUGGGGAAAAAAGUUCUUGUUGCUUAUUGCAAAUAUGGUUUUGAGUUUGAACUCCGUUUUGAUGUGAUAUUUUUGUUAGGUCAGUUAGUUUCAAUAUUUCCAACUUGUGUACAUGUAGGGUACCUACUUAACAAGUUUUAGAAAUGAUAUUGAGGUACACUGAGUGCUUCUGCUUAUUUUCCAAUUGUUGCAUUUGAUGUUACAGAUGAUGGAUGAUCAGGACCUGGGCUUCUUUGCCAAUUUUCUUGGCAUCUUCAUAUUUGUAUUGGUAAUAGCGUAUCAUUAUGUGAUGGCCGACCCAAAAUACGAAGGCAACUAAGGAUCUGUUUCCUUUUUUAUGUAUUUGCAAUAGAGAGAUGCAUUUUUCUUGCGACUAAUGGAGAUAUCCUGUUAAUUUUGUAGCCUGAACUGUUUCACAAUGGAUUCAACUUGAAUUAGUUAAAAGCUUUGUUAUGCAAUGUGAAUGUUUAUUGUUAUACACAGGUGAUUUUCUUUCACGAAUUUA
This 1450-nucleotide long non-coding RNA is filed under the name Prunus dulcis (almond). RNAcentral's name for it is "sRNA ncRNA". The record is from RNAcentral. Lineage: Eukaryota; Viridiplantae; Streptophyta; Magnoliopsida; Rosales; Rosaceae.